GGAGAGAUGGCCGAGUUGGUUAUGGCGUCAGGUUAAGGAUCCUAGGCGUGGGUUCGAAUCCCACUCUCUUCA
This 72-nucleotide transfer RNA is filed under the name Exophiala xenobiotica. RNAcentral's name for it is "tRNA-Leu (AAG) (tRNA-Leu-AAG-2-1)". It matches the Rfam family "tRNA". From Rfam's summary of the family: Transfer RNA (tRNA) molecules are approximately 80 nucleotides in length. The record is from RNAcentral. Lineage: Eukaryota; Fungi; Ascomycota; Eurotiomycetes; Chaetothyriales; Herpotrichiellaceae.